This 406-nucleotide ribosomal RNA is filed under the name uncultured bacterium. RNAcentral's name for it is "partial 16S ribosomal RNA". It matches the Rfam family "Bacterial small subunit ribosomal RNA", at positions 30 to 526 of the family's 1533-position model. The record is from RNAcentral.
AUUGAACGCUGGCGGCAGGCCUAACACAUGCAAGUCGAACGAGUGGCGGACGGGUGAGUAAUGUCUGGGAAACUGCCUGAUGGAGGGGGAUAACUACUGGAAACGGUAGCUAAUACCGCAUACCAUCAGAUGUGCCCAGAUGGGAUUAGCUAGUUGGUGGGGUAACGGCUCACCAAGGCGACGAUCCCUAGCUGGUCUGAGAGGAUGACCCGCCACACUGGAACUGAGCCACGGGCCAGACUCCUACGGGAGUCAGCGUUGGGGAAGAUUGCACAAUGGGCGCAGGCCGGAUGCGGCCAUGCCGCGUGUAUGGAGAAGGCCGUCGGGUUGUAAAGUACUUUCAGCGGGGAGGCGUUACCCGCAGAAGAAGCACCGGCUAACUCCGUGCCAGCAGCCGCGGUAAUAC